RNAcentral lists this ribosomal RNA (804 nucleotides) under uncultured bacterium. Its description in RNAcentral is "bacterial SSU rRNA". It matches the Rfam family "Bacterial small subunit ribosomal RNA", at positions 221 to 1041 of the family's 1533-position model. The record is from RNAcentral.
CAGGAUGGGCUCGCGUCUGAUUAGCUAGUUGGUGAGGUAAUGGCUCACCAAGGCUUCGAUCAGUAGCCGACCUGAGAGGGUGAACGGCCACACUGGAACUGAGACACGGUCCAGACUCCUACGGGAGGCAGCAGUGGGGAAUAUUGCACAAUGGGCGCAAGCCUGAUGCAGCAACGCCGCGUGAGUGAAGAAGGCCUUCGGGUCGUAAAACUCUGUCCUAAGGGAAGAAGAAGUGACGGUACCUUAGGAGGAAGCCCCGGCUAGCUAGGUGCCAGCAGCCGCGGUAAUACGUAGGGGGCAAGCGUUAUCCGGAAUCACUGGGCGUAAAGGGUGCGUAGGCGGCUGAUCAAGCCAGGGGUGAAAGGCUGUGGCUUAACCAUGGUAAGCCUUUGGAACUGGUCAGCUUGAGUGCAGGAGAGGAAAGCGGAAUUCCUAGUGUAGCGGUGAAAUGCGUAGAUAUUAGGAGGAACACCCGUGGCGAAGGCGGCUUUCUGGACUGUAACUGACGCUGAGGCACGAAAGCGUGGGGAGCAAACAGGAUUAGAUACCCUGGUAGUCCACGCUGUAAACGAUGAAUACUAGGUGUCGGGGGUCAAAGCCCGGUGCCGCAGCUAACGCAUUAAGUAUUCCGCCUGGGGAGUACGGUCGCAAGACUGAAACUCAAAGGAAUUUGACGGGGACCCGCACAAGCAGCGGAGCAUGUGGUUUUAUUCGAAGCAACGCGGAGAACCCUUACCAGGUCUUGACAUCCCUCUGACUGGCGCUUAGCAGCGCAGUUUCCUUCGGGACAGAGGAGACAGGUGG